This 159-nucleotide ribosomal RNA is filed under the name uncultured bacterium. Its description in RNAcentral is "partial 16S ribosomal RNA". It matches the Rfam family "Bacterial small subunit ribosomal RNA", at positions 355 to 509 of the family's 1533-position model. The record is from RNAcentral.
UAGGGAAUUUUCGUCAAUGGGGGCAACCCUGAACGAGCAAUGCCGCGUGAGCGAAGAAGGUCUUCGGAUUGUAAAGCUCUGUUGCGGGAAAAGGAAGGAAAGAGGAAAUGCUUUUCUUUGGAUGGUACCCGGCCAGAAAGUCACGGCUAACUACGUGCC